GACGAACGCUGGCGGCGUGCUUAACACAUGCAAGUCGAGCGGUAAGGCCCUUCGGGGUACACGAGCGGCGAACGGGUGAGUAACACGUGGGUGACCUGCCUCUAGCUCUGGGAUAAGCCUGGGAAACUGGGUCUAAUACCGGAUAUGACUCCACGGCGCAUGUUGUGGGGUGGAAAGCCUUGUGUGGCUAGAGAUGGGCCCGCGGCCUAUCAGCUUGUUGGUGGGGUGANGGCCUACCAAGGCGACGACGGGUAGCCGGCCUGAGAGGGCGACCGGCCACACUGGGACUGAGACACGGCCCAGACUCCUACGGGAGGCAGCAGUGGGGAAUCUUGCGCAAUGGGCGAAAGCCUGACGCAGCGACGCCGCGUGAGGGAUGACGG
RNAcentral lists this ribosomal RNA (383 nucleotides) under uncultured bacterium. RNAcentral describes it as "bacterial SSU rRNA". It matches the Rfam family "Bacterial small subunit ribosomal RNA", at positions 28 to 414 of the family's 1533-position model. The record is from RNAcentral.